Molecule: ribosomal RNA, 253 nt
Filed under: uncultured bacterium
Lineage: Bacteria
Description: partial 16S ribosomal RNA
Rfam family: Bacterial small subunit ribosomal RNA
Source: RNAcentral
UACGUAGGGUGCGAGCGUUGUCCGGAAUUAUUGGGCGUAAAGAGCUCGUAGGUGGCGGGUCACGUCGGGUGUGAAAGCCCGGGGCUUAACUCCGGGUCUGCAUUCGAUACGGGUCUGCUGGGGUCCGGCAGGGGAGACUGGAAUUCCUGGUGUAGCGGUGAAAUGCGCAGAUAUCAGGAGGAACGCCGGUGGCGAAGGCGGGUCUCUGGGCCGGUACCGACGCUGAGGAGCGAAAGCGUGGGGAGCGAACAGG